UACGUAGGGGGCUAGCGUUGUCCGGAAUCAUUGGGCGUAAAGAGCGUGUAGGCGGCCCGGUAAGUCCGCUGUGAAAGUCGGGGGCUCAACCCUCGAAUGCCGGUGGAUACUGUCGGGCUAGAGUGCGGAAGAGGCGAGUGGAAUUCCUGGUGUAGCGGUGAAAUGCGCAGAUAUCAGGAGGAACACCAAUUGCGAAGGCAGCUCGCUGGGACGGUAUUGACGCUAAGGCGCGAAAGCGUGGGGAGCAAACAGG
This 253-nucleotide ribosomal RNA is filed under the name uncultured bacterium. RNAcentral describes it as "partial 16S ribosomal RNA". It matches the Rfam family "Bacterial small subunit ribosomal RNA", at positions 524 to 776 of the family's 1533-position model. The record is from RNAcentral.